UGCCUACAACAUAAUGCUAAUACACCGGAUCCCAUUAGAACUCCACAGUUAAGCGUGCUCAAGCUAGAGUAGUACUAGGAUGGGUGACCUCCUGGGAAGUCCUAGUGUUUUAGAUAC
Molecule: non-coding RNA, 117 nt
Organism: Picea glauca (white spruce)
Lineage: Eukaryota; Viridiplantae; Streptophyta; Pinopsida; Pinales; Pinaceae
Source: Rfam